AGAGUUUGAUCAUGGCUCAGAACGAACGCUGGCGGCAGGCCUCAAACAUGCAAGUCUAGGGGGUGUAGCAAUACAUCACCGGCGGACGGGUGCGUAACGCGUGGGAAUGUACCUAUUGGUUCGGAACAACUGAGGGAAACUUCAGCUAAUACCGGAUGAGCCCGCAAGGGGAAAGAUUUCUCGCCAAUAGAUCAGCCCGCGUCCGAUUAGCUAGUUGGUGGGGUUAUGGCCUACCAAGGCGACGAUCGGUAGCUGUUCUGAGAGGAAGAUCAGCCACACUGGGACUGAGACACGGCCCAGACUCCUACGGGAGGCAGCAGUUGGGAAUCUUGGACAAUGGGGGAAACCCUGAUCCAGCCAUGCCGCGUGAGUGAUGAAGGCCUUCGGGUUGUAAAACUCUUUCGACGGGGACGAUAAUGACGGUACCCGUAGAAGAAGCUCCGGCUAACUUCGUGCCAGCAGCCGCGGUAAUACGAAGGGGGCUAGCGUUGUUCGGAAUUACUGGGCGUAAAGCGCGCGCAGGCGGUCUUCCAAGUCAGUGGUGAAAGCCCGGAGCUCAACUCCGGAACUGCCAUUGAAACUGUAAGACUUGAGGAUGAGAGAGGUGAGUGGAAUUCCCAGUGUAGAGGUGAAAUUCGUAGAUAUUGGGAAGAACACCGGUGGCGAAGGCGGCUCACUGGCUCAUAUCUGACGCUCAGGCGCGACAGCGUGGGGAUCAAACAGGAUUAGAUACCCCAGUAGUCC
Molecule: ribosomal RNA, 744 nt
Filed under: uncultured bacterium
Lineage: Bacteria
Description: bacterial SSU rRNA
Rfam family: Bacterial small subunit ribosomal RNA
Source: RNAcentral